CAGUCGCCGCGGUAAUACGUAGGGUGCGAGCGUUAAUCGGAAUUACUGGGCGUAAAGCGUGCGCAGGCGGUUUUGUAAGACAGGCGUGAAAUCCCCGGGCUCAACCUGGGAAUGGCGCUUGUGACUGCAAAGCUAGAGUGCGGCAGAGGGGGAUGGAAUUCCGCGUGUAGCAGUGAAAUGCGUAGAUAUGCGGAGGAACACCGAUGGCGAAGGCAAUCCCCUGGGCCUGCACUGACGCUCAUGCACGAAAGCGUGGGGAGCAAACAGGAUUAGAUACCCGUGUAGUCCCUGUCUCUUAUAC
RNAcentral lists this ribosomal RNA (301 nucleotides) under uncultured bacterium. Its description in RNAcentral is "partial 16S ribosomal RNA". It matches the Rfam family "Bacterial small subunit ribosomal RNA", at positions 509 to 807 of the family's 1533-position model. The record is from RNAcentral.